CUGGAGGCACCCUGGUUGGAAGACACCGGCCUAAGUACAUGCUAGGAUUUGCUGGUCUUCAAGUGAGCCUGGAAAACUUACAAGGAUUGUCUGAUGGUGGAUCGCAACAGCAAAGCCUUGAAAAGACGUUCCCAUAAUGAAACCCAAUGAACCAGCCUGGUUCUAUUCUCUGCCCCCUGGCAGUGUGGAGGAUGAAACAUUUUUUAUAGAGAACAAGUCAACACAACCGCACCAAGACUGGAAAUUCAGCUAUUCUUAUGUGGAAGAUUUGUUAAAGAAUUUUCUGAAAAUAAAAAGUUCCAUU
This is a long non-coding RNA of Hyla sarda, 304 nucleotides long. RefSeq lists it as uncharacterized. The transcript is spliced from 4 exons. The record is from RefSeq and is a predicted model, not a curated record. NCBI's taxonomy places the organism in Eukaryota, Metazoa, Chordata, Amphibia, Anura, Hylidae.